This is a small nucleolar RNA of Anolis carolinensis (green anole), 139 nucleotides long. RefSeq annotates it as small nucleolar RNA SNORA22. NCBI's taxonomy places the organism in Eukaryota, Metazoa, Chordata, Lepidosauria, Squamata, Anolidae. The record is from RefSeq and is a predicted model, not a curated record. The transcript has a single exon.
CCGCACAGCGAACACCCAAGCCAGCUCUGUAGCUUCCUUGGCGUAAUUCUGUGCCAGAAUAUACCCCCCGCUGCCCUUUACCCUCUGCGUUGGAAGGAAUCCCGGUCCUUUUAAAUGUAUUCAAAAGGGCAGCACAAGC